UAGGGAAUCUUCCGCAAUGGGCGAAAGCCUGACGGAGCAACGCCGCGUGAGUGAUGAAGGUCUUCGGAUCGUAAAACUCUGUUAUUAGGGAAGAACAAAUGUGUAAGUAACUAUGCACGUCUUGACGGUACCUAAUCAGUAAGCCACGGCUAACUACGUGCCAGCAGCCGCGGUAAUACGUAGGUGGCAAGCGUUAUCCGGAAUUAUUGGGCGUAAAGCGCGCGUAGGCGGUUUUUUAAGUCUGAUGUGAAAGCCCACGGCUCAACCGUGGAGGGUCAUUGGAAACUGGAAAACUUGAGUGCAGAAGAGGAAAGUGGAAUUCCAUGUGUAGCGGUGAAAUGCGCAGAGAUAUGGAGGACCACCAGUGGCGAAGGCGACUUUCUGGUCUGUAACUGACGCUGAUGUGCGAAAGCGUGGGGAUCAAACAGG
Molecule: ribosomal RNA, 429 nt
Filed under: Actinomycetes bacterium
Lineage: Bacteria; Bacillati; Actinomycetota; Actinomycetes
Description: Actinobacteria bacterium partial 16S ribosomal RNA
Rfam family: Bacterial small subunit ribosomal RNA
Source: RNAcentral